RNAcentral lists this ribosomal RNA (911 nucleotides) under marine metagenome. RNAcentral describes it as "bacterial SSU rRNA". It matches the Rfam family "Bacterial small subunit ribosomal RNA", at positions 53 to 1010 of the family's 1533-position model. The record is from RNAcentral.
ACAUGCAAGUCGAACGAAGUAGCAAUACUUAGUGGCAGACGGGUGAGUAACAUGUGGGUAUCUUCCCUAUGGUGAGGAAUAACACGAGGAAACUUGUGCUAAUACCUCAUAAGUCUUUACGGAGAAAGCUUUAUGCGCCAUUGGAUGAGCCCGCACUUGAUUAGUUUGUUGGUAGGGUAAUGGCCUACCAAGACUGUGAUCAAUAGCUGAUUUGAGAGGAUGAUCAGCCACAUUGGGACUGAGACACGGCCCAAACUCCUACGGGAGGCAGCAGUAAGGAAUCUUGCACAAUGGAGGAAACUCUGAUGCAGCGAUGCCGCGUGAGUGAAGAAGGCCCUUGGGUUGUAAAGCUCUUUCGUCGGGGAAGAAAAUGACUGUACCCGAAUAAGAAGGUCCGGCUAACUUCGUGCCAGCAGCCGCGGUAAUACGAAGGGACCUAGCGUAGUUCGGAAUUACUGGGCUUAAAGAGUUCGUAGGUGGUUAAAAAAGUUGGUGGUGAAAUCCCAGAGCUUAACUCUGGAACUGCCAUCAAAACUUUUUAGCUAGAGUAUGAUAGAGGAAAGCAGAAUUUCUAGUGUAGAGGUGAAAUUCGUAGAUAUUAGAAAGAAUACCAAUUGCGAAGGCAGCUUUCUGGAUCAUUACUGACACUGAGGAACGAAAGCAUGGGUAGCGAAGAGGAUUAGAUACCCUCGUAGUCCAUGCCGUAAACGAUGUGUGUUAGACGUUGGAAAUUUAUUUUCAGUGUCGCAGCGAAAGCGAUAAACACACCGCCUGGGGAGUACGACCGCAAGGUUAAAACUCAAAUGAAUUGACGGGGACCCGCACAAGUAGUGGAGCAUGUGGUUUAAUUCGAAGAUACGCGCAGAACCUUACCAACACUUGACAUGUUCGUCGCGACUUUAAGAGAUUAA